This 253-nucleotide ribosomal RNA is filed under the name uncultured bacterium. RNAcentral describes it as "partial 16S ribosomal RNA". It matches the Rfam family "Bacterial small subunit ribosomal RNA", at positions 524 to 776 of the family's 1533-position model. The record is from RNAcentral.
UACGUAGGUGACUAGCGUUGUCCGGAUUUACUGGGCGUAAAGAGCGCGCAGGCGGUCGUUCAAGUCGAGUGUGAAAGCCCCCGGCUCAACUGGGGAGGGUCACUUGAUACUGAUCGACUCGAAGGCAGGAGAGGGAAGCGGAAUUCCCGGUGUAGUGGUGAAAUGCGCAGAUAUCAGGAGGAACACCAGCGGCGAAGGCGGCGCUCUGGGCCGGUACUGACGCUGAGGAGCGAAAGCGUGGGGAGCAAACAGG